RNAcentral lists this ribosomal RNA (437 nucleotides) under uncultured Oscillospiraceae bacterium. RNAcentral describes it as "partial 16S ribosomal RNA". It matches the Rfam family "Bacterial small subunit ribosomal RNA", at positions 341 to 792 of the family's 1533-position model. The record is from RNAcentral. Lineage: Bacteria; Bacillati; Bacillota; Clostridia; Eubacteriales; Oscillospiraceae.
ACGGAAGGCAGCAGUGGGGAAUAUUGGGCAAUGGGCGAAAGCCUGACCCAGCGACGCCGCGUGAAGGAAGAAGGCCCUCGGGUUGUAAACUUCUGUAGACAGGGACGAAAACAAUGACGGUACCUGUAAAGUAAGCCACGGCUAACUACGUGCCAGCAGCCGCGGUAAUACGUAGGUGGCGAGCGUUAUCCGGAUUUACUGGGUGUAAAGGGUGUGUAGGCGGAAGAUCAAGUCAGAUGUGAAAAUUAUGGGCUCAACCCAUAACUUGCAUUUGAAACUGAUUUCCUUGAGUGUGGGAGAGGUAAAUGGAAUUCCCAGUGUAACGGUGAAAUGCGUAGAUAUUGGGAGGAACACCAGUGGCGAAGGCGGUUUACUGGACUGUAACUGACACUGAGGCUCGAAAGCGUGGGGAGCAAACAGGAUUAGAUACCCUGGUA